This 736-nucleotide ribosomal RNA is filed under the name Apilactobacillus kunkeei. Its description in RNAcentral is "bacterial SSU rRNA". It matches the Rfam family "Bacterial small subunit ribosomal RNA", at positions 340 to 1066 of the family's 1533-position model. The record is from RNAcentral. Lineage: Bacteria; Bacillati; Bacillota; Bacilli; Lactobacillales; Lactobacillaceae.
UUUGCGCGACCCGAGUAAGAAUCUUCCACAAUGGACGAAAGUCUGAUGGAGCAACGCCGCGUGAGUGAUGAAGGUUUUCGGAUCGUAAAACUCUGUUGUUAAAGAAGAACAAGUGUUAGAGUAACUGUUAACACUUUGACGGUAUUUAACCAGAAAGCCACGGCUAACUACGUGCCAGCAGCCGCGGUAAUACGUAGGUGGCAAGCGUUGUCCGGAUUUAUUGGGCGUAAAGCGAGCGCAGGCGGUUUUGUAAGUCUGCUGUGAAAGCCCUCAGCUCAACUGAGGAAGUGCAGUGGAAACUACAAAACUUGAGUACAGAAGAGGAAAGUGGAACUCCAUGUGUAGCGGUGAAAUGCGUAGAUAUAUGGAAGAACACCAGUGGCGAAGGCGGCUUUCUGGUCUGUUACUGACGCUGAGGCUCGAAAGCAUGGGUAGCGAACAGGAUUAGAUACCCUGGUAGUCCAUGCCGUAAACGAUGAAUACUAGGUGUUGGAGGGUUUCCGCCCUUCAGUGCCGCAGCUAACGCAUUAAGUAUUCCGCCUGGGGAGUACGACCGCAAGGUUGAAACUCAAAGGAAUUGACGGGGGCCCGCACAAGUGGUGGAGCAUGUGGUUUAAUUCGAUGCUACGCGAAGAACCUUACCAGCUCUUGACAUCUUCUGCCAACCCAAGAGAUUGGGCGUUCCCUUCGGGGACAGAAUGACAGGUGGUGCAUGGUGUCGUCCACAAUUUGUAUC